CCCAGAGGAAGAGCGCAGGCAGCUUCAGUGGAGGGGAAAAACUCCUCUGAGGAAGAAGAACCUCAAGCAGACCAGACUCAAAGGGGUGACCAUCUGCUUGGGCCAUGCUACAGACACAAAUUACAGAACAAUCACAAAACAAAUAUACAGGAAAUGUUCCCGG
This is a long non-coding RNA of Thalassophryne amazonica, 163 nucleotides long. RefSeq lists it as uncharacterized. Lineage: Eukaryota; Metazoa; Chordata; Actinopteri; Batrachoidiformes; Batrachoididae. The transcript has 3 exons. The record is from RefSeq and is a predicted model, not a curated record.